GAAAAUCUGUGGUAUGAUGAAUCGUCAUCUAUAUAAAUAUACAAACAUAUAUUUUAAGAAAUAAUGGAUAUUGACACUCUAAAAUGCUGGUGUGUCAAAGCUGGUUACCCAUCAGUGUCUUACGCAAUCCCUUUCGCACGUUCAAAUUCUCAUUUGUGAACAUCCUCCCAUGAAUCAAGCCUGAAAUUUUAGGAGAAACCCUACAAUUAAUAGCAUGCUACCCGCACAAACAAAUCUUCCCUUUAUUAUGGAUGCAUGAGCUGAUGCAAACCAUUCCUUUCAUUUUUUAUUUCUCAAUCGUGCCCAUACGUUGCUUACAACAAAGUAAUACUGAGAAGAAAUCUGGAGAAAAGGAGGUGUAACUGACAAAUUGAUCAUUAUAAUUAGGUGCUUUGUGUUAAUCACGUCGCUGGACACCACAAAAAACUGAGGCAUCUAUGCAGAAGCAAGACACGGACCAUUAAUGAAUGAAGUGCAGCACAGGGCUAAAGUUAAUAUUCCGAAGUCAGGAAUUGAUUGCCUUAUAAAAUUGGCAGUGAAAGAAUCAUGCAGAACCCGAGGCUAAGAUAAUUAGCCACAGAGGUUCAGAACAGCGUUCGAUUUAAUUGUAUGUUCGAAACGUCAAACACUUGAGAGUUCACAGUACCUUCAAGGCUUCAAUCCCAUCAACAGCAACCACCAUCUUAG
Molecule: long non-coding RNA, 687 nt
Filed under: Setaria italica (foxtail millet)
Lineage: Eukaryota; Viridiplantae; Streptophyta; Magnoliopsida; Poales; Poaceae
Description: long non-coding RNA (SITA_LNC001048)
Source: RNAcentral